This 208-nucleotide ribosomal RNA is filed under the name uncultured bacterium. RNAcentral describes it as "partial 16S ribosomal RNA". It matches the Rfam family "Bacterial small subunit ribosomal RNA", at positions 568 to 775 of the family's 1533-position model. The record is from RNAcentral.
CGCGCAGGCGGCUCGUUAAGUCCAAGGUGAAAUCCCACGGCUCAACUGUGGGGGGACCCUGGAUACUGGCGAGCUGGAGUGCGGGAGAGGGAAGCGGAAUUCCACGUGUAACGGUGAAAUGUAUAGAUAUGUGGAGGAACACCGGUGGCGAAGGCGGCUUCCUGGACCGUAACUGACGCUGAGGCGCGAAAGCUGGGGGAGCGAACAG